RNAcentral lists this ribosomal RNA (494 nucleotides) under uncultured archaeon. RNAcentral describes it as "partial 16S rRNA". It matches the Rfam family "Archaeal small subunit ribosomal RNA", at positions 857 to 1351 of the family's 1478-position model. The record is from RNAcentral.
UAAAGGAAUUGGCGGGGGAGUACACAAGGGGUGGGGUCUGCGGUUCAAUUGGACUCAACGCCGGGAACCUUACCAGGGGCGACAGCAGGAUGAAGGUCAGUCUGAAGGGCUUACCAGACGCGCUGAGAGGUAUUGCAUGGCCGACGUCAGCUCGUGCCGUGAGGUGUGCCGCUAAGCCGGUUAACGAGCGAGACCCGUGCCCUCUGUUGCUACCUCCAUCUUUUGGUGGAGGGGCACUCAGAGGGGACUGCCUGCGCUAAGCAGGAGGAAGGUGCGGGCGACGUUAGGUCAGUAUGUUCCGAAUCCCCUGGGCUACACGCGGGCAACAAUGGCCGGGACAAUGGGAUGCGACCCCGAAAGGGGUAGGUAAUCCCCUAAACCCGGCCUUACCUGGGAUCGAGGGCUGCAACUCGCCCUCGUGAACCUGGAAUCCGUAGUAAUCGCGCCUCAAAAUGGCGCGGAGAAUACGUCCCUGCUCCUUGCACACACCGCCA